Long non-coding RNA from Anthonomus grandis grandis, 1203 nucleotides. RefSeq lists it as uncharacterized. The record is from RefSeq and is a predicted model, not a curated record. The transcript is spliced from 3 exons. Lineage: Eukaryota; Metazoa; Arthropoda; Insecta; Coleoptera; Curculionidae.
GUUUUUCGAAAGGACAAUCGGACAAUUUACCCACCGUGGAUAUGUUUAUGGUUGCAACUUUCAUACAAAAUGCAGAAGGCUUUUCUCUUGGAGAGGUUCGCGGUUUCAAAGCUAGCAAAUCUGGAAGAAAAUCUUAAGGAGACUCCGCUAUAGGAUGGAUCCAAGUCAAAAGGUGUGAUAAAAUAUGCACAGUUAAAGCUAAAAUAACACCUGAGUGUAGUGUGAGAAAAAAGCAAUAUGCUGUUACCUGUACUGUGGAUGAAGAAUUGGAAAAUAUUUUAACUGUUGAAUGAUUGUGCUGCUUCUUCGGAUGGAUGUAAGCAUGCCAUUGCUUUUUUAAUGUGGCUUCGUAGAAGGAGCGAAGAACCUUCUCCCACUGACGUGGCUUGUUACUGGUCAAGAAGCCAGCUUUCAUGAGGUAGGAUUGUCAGUUAAAUAUUUUACUCUAAAAGACUUUGGCCAAACACAAGAGUUCUGAUGAAGAAAGUGCAAAUUUUUUAAAAGAAUUAACAGCUACAGGAUUGGAAAAUAACAGCCCAAGCCAGAUUUUAAAAUAUUUUACGUCUGACAAAAUAACAGAUCAUCUUGGGUUGCAUCAGCUUAUUUUGAGGUUUUCAAAGGGAAAAUCUAGUGAACAACCAGAUGUUACAAGCUUUCUAGAAUUUUGCAAACAAGAAAUGACCACAGAUUUAUGUUCCCAGGCUGCAGUAAUGACGGAAACACAGUCCAACUCUGCUUUGUGAUUUGAUCUGCGAUAUGCAAGGAUUACCACUUACAAAAUAUACGAUGCAGCCCAUUGUAAGAAGUGUGAUCGUUCUUUUGUAAAUCAAGUUCUUGGCGUAACAAAAAUUGAUGCUACAGAAGCAAUGUCUAGAGGAAAAAAACUAGAAGAAAGUGUAGUAAAACUCUUAGAAAAAAAUUUAAAAAUUAAAUUUAAUCACAUCGGGCUACAAUUGGAUCCUAAACACCCUAUAUUUGGAGCAUCACCUGAUGCCAUAUGUGAAGAAUAUGUGGUUGAAAUCAAGUGUCCUUACUCUGAAAAAACUGUGCACAAUUAUUUAACUAAGAAUAAUGAAAUAACUUCAAAAUAUAAAGCCCAAGUGCAACUGCAGUUGGAGGCAGCAGAUUGUUUUUGGCGCCAUAUUAUAUUCCCAUAGGUAUAUAAAUCUGCAUUCAGUACUGUAUAAAUAAAACUGCCUAUUU